GCCUCAGCAACGUGGUUUUAAAAUGAGAAGCACACCGGAUUACUCUGUGUAGGUGGUGGAGUGGGAGGAGGUGAAAUGCAAGCUUUAUUUUCCCGACUGCUUGUCAUCCAAUUCCCCACUUCCCUCUGACUUUCAUGAGUGAUGAGGUCAUCCCGGCGCAGGAAAAUCAAACUCCUAUUUUUCAAACCCAAUAAAGGCCCGCAUUGUAUCCUGCGUAAACAGAGGCCAGACGGGUAGGGUGGCAGGAACACGAGCGGCCCGCCCCCUGGCGGUCGCCUGAGGCAGUCGAGCCCUGCACUCCACCAAACUGCGACAGGGAGGCGGAGAGGCUGCGAGCUAAAACGACGCAGAGAUCCAUUACAGCCGCGGCAGGGGAGAGGAUGCUGCAAGGAGAUGAUGCACGCCACAGUACAGCCUCGCUGGCUGGUCCCGGCUUCAUCCGGCCUCAGAUCCGCGUGGGAACUCCCUUUCAGAAGAUCUUCUCAAAGCUGCCCUGUUGGCACAGCUCCAGUUUCAGCUCAGAUAUCAGAGAUAUCAGAGACCUUAACUGACCGCCCUCUGCUCCUCCAGAACUCAGGAUCACAUCACCUUGUUUUCUGUUCAACACAGCAGUUAACUGGAAUUGGACUGUUUAUCCUUUUUCAUGUAUCAGAAGUUGGCCCCAGGAAAACAGGCUCCCUAUCUUUCUUGUUCACUCCUGUCUCUUUGGGUUGUAGAACAGUACCUGGUCCACAGCUGGUAUUCAGGAUACAGUUAUUGUAUAAAUUAUUUGAUGUGAUUUCCUGA
Molecule: long non-coding RNA, 786 nt
Filed under: Bos indicus x Bos taurus (hybrid cattle)
Lineage: Eukaryota; Metazoa; Chordata; Mammalia; Artiodactyla; Bovidae
Description: lncRNA (ENSBIXG00000028333.1)
Source: RNAcentral